Oxyura jamaicensis (ruddy duck) is the source of this 151-nucleotide long non-coding RNA. RefSeq lists it as uncharacterized. NCBI's taxonomy places the organism in Eukaryota, Metazoa, Chordata, Aves, Anseriformes, Anatidae. The record is from RefSeq and is a predicted model, not a curated record. The transcript is spliced from 3 exons.
CCUAAUGAAAUAUUGCCAGACAGACAGGGAUCAGGUUAGGAAAGCUAAAGCCCAUUUAGAACUAAGUCUGGCCAGGGACAUCAAGGGCAAUAAGAAAGGCUUCUAUAAGUACAUCAGUGUUAAAAGGAAGACCAACAGAAAUGUGGGCCCU